This 133-nucleotide non-coding RNA is filed under the name Clostridium homopropionicum DSM 5847. RNAcentral describes it as "Bacterial small subunit ribosomal RNA". It matches the Rfam family "Bacterial small subunit ribosomal RNA", at positions 1 to 134 of the family's 1533-position model. Lineage: Bacteria; Bacillati; Bacillota; Clostridia; Eubacteriales; Clostridiaceae. The record is from Rfam by way of RNAcentral.
UAAAUUGAGAGUUUGAUCCUGGCUCAGGACGAACGCUGGCGGCGUGCCUAACACAUGCAAGUCGAGCGAGGGGAGUUCUUCGGAACAAACCUAGCGGCGGACGGGUGAGUAACACGUGGGCAACCUGCCUCAA